AUACGUAGGGGGCGAGCGUUGUCCGGAAUGAUUGGGCGUAAAGGGCGCGUAGGCGGCCCGGUAAGUCUGGAGUGAAAGUCCUGCUUUUAAGGUGGGAAUUGCUUUGGAUACUGUCGGGCUUGAGUGCAGGAGAGGUAAGUGGAAUUCCCAGUGUAGCGGUGAAAUGCGUAGAGAUUGGGAGGAACACCAGUGGCGAAGGCGACUUACUGGACUGUAACUGACGCUGAGGCGCGAAAGUGUGGGGAGCAAACAGGAUUAGAUACCCUGGUAGUCCACACUGUAAACGAUGAAUGCUAGGUGUAGGGGGUAUCGACCCCUUCUGUGCCGCAGUUAACACAAUAAGCAUUCCGCCUGGGGAGUACGGCCGCAAGGUUGAGACUCAAAUGAAUUGACGGGG
This 397-nucleotide ribosomal RNA is filed under the name uncultured bacterium. RNAcentral describes it as "partial 16S ribosomal RNA". It matches the Rfam family "Bacterial small subunit ribosomal RNA", at positions 523 to 918 of the family's 1533-position model. The record is from RNAcentral.